Non-coding RNA from Hydra vulgaris (swiftwater hydra), 409 nucleotides. Lineage: Eukaryota; Metazoa; Cnidaria; Hydrozoa; Anthoathecata; Hydridae. The record is from RefSeq and is a predicted model, not a curated record.
AAAAGACAACGUUAUGGAAAAUAUUUCGCAUCUUAAUAGUUUGAUGAAAUAGUCAUCAUUUUUCACUUGUGAAAAACACUGGCCACACUGGGCUGUGCAAAACACUUGGCUUUCUAAAUCAAACAUACUUAAAGGGUUUAUGGCCAUUUUCCACUCUAUAUACAUUCUAGUUCUAAUUUUUUAAUGCAAUGCAAGUACCUGUCUCAGAAGGGCCAUUAUAGAAGAAGAGCGUCUAUCGGGCAUGCACGUUGAAAAUGAACAUGAUACGAUUCUAUUGUAAGAUGAUAUAAUAUUAAUCGUGAUUUUUUCUAGUAAAAUCAGUGAAUGUUUUGCAUAAUUGUCAUUAAUACAGAUGCAGCCCUUGAAAAUAUGGAUGUAAAUUAACAGUAUUAAAAAUAAAAAAAACUUU